CCCCUGCUUUGGCCACUCAUUCGGCGAAAAUUAAUGGUGGUGUUCGGUUCUACGUCGCGCAAGGCAGUCUCUAGAGUCUCGCAGAGCUAAGAAUACAUCUUAGAAAAUCGGCAAAAAAUAUCCAAGUUCAGCCAAGUUUGCGGUGUGUAGGCAAGUCAUCAAAAAGUAACGACCGAAAUAACGGCAGUUGUCGCAUAGCAAAUGCCAAUUGCAAAUUGCGAGUAAAAAUCGCAAAUUAAAGUGUGCGCAGGCGAAUAAAGAAACAAAGAAACACAAUUAACAAACGUGAAGUAACAAUCCGGCAAAGCGAAUAAACCCGAUAUCGAUUCCGAUCUGCAGCAGAAAAACGUGAGCUCCUUUCCUCUGCUGCUUUUUCCCAAGCGGUGUAUUGUGUUCUGUGUUAUGUACGUGUCCAUGCAUUGAAUUCUGUGCCAGCGAUUUUUGAAUACAUCUCCCGUUUUGUCUUAGGCACCCAACAAAUGUACAUCUCUAAAUGCAUAAGCUAAGCAACAGUAUUUUUGCUCAACAAUAAAUAUACGAAAACAUUGAACACGUGAAUACAAGAAAUAUUUUCGUAGCCGUGAUUAUUUGUUGCAUUUGAAUGAUAACUUUGAAGAUACGAGCAGCAGAGAGAACGCAUCGAGCUUAAGCCAACAACGUAGUACGACUAGUAAAAGACACCACCAAUUUAAGUUUAUCUAGAAAAAAAAAUACGCAUACGCAAGCAAAGUAGCCAAAAUAUCUAUAUGUUUAGUACGUGUAUUGGUCAUUUAUGAUUGAUAUACUCGCAUAGCAAAGUUAUAUUUACAAAACCCACAACAUAAUCGGAAGAGGAUCCCGCAAAAGGCAAUUGCAGCGAUACAGACCGCCGAGUACGGUCAGAUCCACAUACAUUUUCAUCCAAAUCGCGUUAAGACAAAGCCGGCAAAAUAGAUACCAUGGAAGACAAUAACACGAGCAGCAGUGCGGGCGGUGCGUCCAUCAAACACGAGGAUCCUUCGGUGACACUCACAAUAAGGCUGAUUAUGCAAG
Long non-coding RNA from Drosophila teissieri, 1032 nucleotides. RefSeq lists it as uncharacterized. The transcript is spliced from 3 exons. Lineage: Eukaryota; Metazoa; Arthropoda; Insecta; Diptera; Drosophilidae. The record is from RefSeq and is a predicted model, not a curated record.